UACUUUGGUGUCCUAGUUGUUAGAGGGUUAGAGCGUCCGCCUCGGAUGCGGGAGGUCGCGGGUUCUAACCCCGGCCGAGUCA
Non-coding RNA from Potamilus streckersoni, 82 nucleotides. The record is from the annotation of a GenBank genome assembly. Lineage: Eukaryota; Metazoa; Mollusca; Bivalvia; Unionida; Unionidae.